AUGAGUCCUUGCAAAUGCAAGAUGUGCAAAGCAGGCUUAGUCAAAAAUUGUUCAAAAUUCAAGUGACAAAAAGCAUUUGCACGCAAUUCAGGAGCAACAUCUGGAAAAUUGUAUAUUGUAUCAUGCGUUGAAAAAGAAAAUAUCAUUCAUUCUCUCCCUGCACCAACCACAACGGAUAUAGCUGAAGGCAGCAAGAGAAAGAAAGAAGAUUUGUCUUCCUCUGAUGGAGAAAUAGAGCUAGCAACUGAACGAGGUGAUUUGUUCAAGCUAAAACAAAAACUGGAGCCAACGACUCCAGUUAAAAUGAAAUGAAGGUUAAUCAGCUCCUUUUUGCGAUCAGUUUUGGCUUUCAUGGAACAAAGUUGUUUUGCAGGAAAAUAAAUUUUGCACUGCAGCUUGCUUUUCACUUUUUUUCCUGUACACAAACAUUCCAAUAACCACUAUGUUCCACUAACCAUAGGCAUGAAACAAAGAUAAAUGAACUGGUAGAUAUUGCUCGAUGUGUGGCAAAUACACCUUUAGAUGAUGAUCAGUCUGUGUCCUAUUUGCUCUUUCGCCUUGAAGAUCUGAAAGUUGUGACGGAACGCAGAAAGUUGGAAGCACUUACAGUGGAAACGUUGGGAAACCGGAUAGAAAAGCUGAUAAGGUUAGCCUGCAUGGAAAACAGGUUCUUUCAUGGAAGAAUGACCAUGGUGAAGAAUUACUUUAUAUGAGCAGUAAGUGAAUAGCAAGAUGAAGCAUGGGUUACCAGUUGCAGCUCCUAAACUCAAGAUUUUAUCCAAUCUCGCCAAUAUGAACAUGAACAAUUUGACUGUUUUGGACUUUCUAGCAAGCUUAAGAAUGUACCUGUACAACUUUGUUCCACAUAUACAUCUAUAUAUAUGAUGUACUUUAUGUUAAUAUUAAACACAUUAUGCCAA
Nicotiana tabacum (common tobacco) is the source of this 920-nucleotide non-coding RNA. The record is from RefSeq and is a predicted model, not a curated record. Lineage: Eukaryota; Viridiplantae; Streptophyta; Magnoliopsida; Solanales; Solanaceae.